Molecule: unclassified non-coding RNA, 378 nt
Filed under: uncultured fungus
Lineage: Eukaryota; Fungi
Description: partial contains small subunit ribosomal RNA, internal transcribed spacer 1, and 5.8S ribosomal RNA
Rfam family: Eukaryotic small subunit ribosomal RNA (bases 1-73)
Source: RNAcentral
GCAAACUUGGUCAUUUAGAGGAAGUAAAAGUCGUAACAAGGUCUCCGUAGGUGAACCUGCGGAGGGAUCAUUAACAAAUAUAAUAUACGAUGUGAAUCUGAGGUUCGAGCGCAAGCGAGAAUCACAGAUUCGCAGAGUUGAUUAAAUGAAGUUCUUUUGUGUCAACAAAAGAAAUUCAUUUGAUUAUGUGAUAUGUGAAAUGUUCAUUUGCAUUAUGCAGAUUUACAACACAUAACACACGAAUCAAUAUCACUAUUGAUUCAAAUACAGAGACUUAACAUCUCUGUAUUCAACACACGAUUCAAUUGACAAAAUAGCCAAAAAGAAAUCACUUUUAACAAUGGAUCUCUUGGCUCUUGCAUCGAUGAAGAACGCAGC